RNAcentral lists this long non-coding RNA (495 nucleotides) under Panax ginseng (ginseng). RNAcentral's name for it is "long non-coding RNA (PGIN_LNC000431)". Lineage: Eukaryota; Viridiplantae; Streptophyta; Magnoliopsida; Apiales; Araliaceae. The record is from RNAcentral.
CGUCUUCGCCUCCUCGAACGACUGAGAACCAGUGGUGUGUACUAUCCGGAGCUGACCACGGUUCUUCUUCACCUGCUCGGACUUUUUCUUGUAGUCAUCAGCCUCCCAGUGAGCACACAUAGCCUCCCAGGCUAAAUCGGAGACUAUACGGGGCUGAUGAUCUCUAAUGGUGGUCCCGGCUGGUCCACAACUGCCCGGGCUGCCUUCUGUCGCAUCUCAUACAGCCAUCCAGAGUAAUUCGCAGCGACGUGAUGCUCAAUCACAACAUCGCCAGCUGACUAAGAGAUGCUCGGGUCAAAUCGAUAAUAAACAUAUAACAAAAGAUUAUUUAAAAUUAAGAACAUUUGAUUUCGUCAUCCUAAUACAACUAUGUGGUGAUAAUAUGCUUAACUUACGUGAAACUCCCGCAAGACAGUCUGCAUAAAAGUGGCAUCGUACCGCGCAUACUGACUGAACCGCAUGCACCCUCUCGGGAAAUGCAUCAAACAAAUCGCA